Molecule: ribosomal RNA, 916 nt
Filed under: uncultured marine bacterium
Lineage: Bacteria
Description: bacterial SSU rRNA
Rfam family: Bacterial small subunit ribosomal RNA
Source: RNAcentral
UAGCAAUACUUAGUGGCAGACGGGUGAGUAACAUGUAGGUAUCUUCCCAUUGGUGAGGAAUAACACGAGGAAACUUGUGCUAAUACCUCAUAAGUCUUUACGGAGAAAGCUUUAUGCGCCGAUGGAUGAGCCUGCACUUGAUUAGUUUGUUGGUAGGGUAAUGGCCUACCAAGACAAUGAUCAAUAGCUGAUUUGAGAGGAUGAUCAGCCACAUUGGGACUGAGACACGGCCCAAACUCCUACGGGAGGCAGCAGUAGGGAAUCUUGCACAAUGGGGGAAACCCUGAUGCAGCGAUGCCGCGUGAGUGAAGAAGGCCUUUGGGUUGUAAAGCUCUUUCGUCGGGGAAGAAAAUGACUGUACCCGAAUAAGAAGGUCCGGCUAACUUCGUGCCAGCAGCCGCGGUAAUACGAAGGGACCUAGCGUAGUUCGGAAUUACUGGGCUUAAAGAGUUCGUAGGCGGUUAAAAAAGUUGGUGGUGAAAUCCCAGAGCUUAACUCUGGAACUGCCAUCAAAACUUUUUAGCUAGAGUAUGAUAGAGGAAAGCAGAAUUUCUAGUGUAGAGGUGAAAUUCGUAGAUAUUAGAAAGAAUACCAAUUGCGAAGGCAGCUUUCUGGAUCAUUACUGACGCUGAGGAACGAAAGCAUGGGUAGCGAAGAGGAUUAGAUACCCUCGUAGUCCAUGCCGUAAACGAUGUGUGUUAGACGUUGGAAAUUUAUUUUCUGUGUCGCAGCGAAAGCAAUAAACACACCGCCUGGGGAGUACGACCGCAAGGUUAAAACUCAAAUGAAUUGACGGGGACCCGCACAAGUAGUGGAGCAUGUGGUUUAAUUCGAAGAUACGCGCAGAACCUUACCAACACUUGACAUGUUCGUCGCGACUUUAAAAGAUUAAAGUUUUCGGUUCGGCCGGACGAAA